AUGAAUUGCUUUUUAAAAUUCUGUCGAGCAUGAACCAAGUCACCAUGAAGUAAACCAUUCAGGGAAAAAAAGCACAACUUGCAAUCCUACAAUAAAUAUAAUUUCACUAUUCAGUAAAAAAAGUUAUUCAGUCUCGAAGUAAUAAUAAAUGCAGUCAUGGUACCAACUAGUACGAUCACAGUAUAGAACAAAAUAGCUGCGACAAACUUAAUGUUUCUGCAACACUGGAUGUUUCAAAUUGUUUAUCUCCAAUCAUCA
RNAcentral lists this long non-coding RNA (258 nucleotides) under Phoenix dactylifera (date palm). RNAcentral describes it as "long non-coding RNA (PDAC_LNC017680)". Lineage: Eukaryota; Viridiplantae; Streptophyta; Magnoliopsida; Arecales; Arecaceae. The record is from RNAcentral.